ACGCUCGACACCUACGGGGGGCAGCAGUGGGGAAUAUUGCACAAUGGGCGAAGGCCUGAUGCAGCAACGCCGCGUGAGCGAAGAAGGCCUUCGGGUCGUAAAGCUCUGUCCUCAAGGAAGAUAAUGACGGUACUUGAGGAGGAAGCCCCGGCUAACUACGUGCCGGCAGCCGCGGUAAUCUGAGCGGGCGUGGCGAAGGC
Molecule: ribosomal RNA, 200 nt
Filed under: uncultured bacterium
Lineage: Bacteria
Description: partial 16S ribosomal RNA
Rfam family: Bacterial small subunit ribosomal RNA
Source: RNAcentral